GUGGAUUACAAAUUUAAUUUGUCAACAUCUGGAAAGAUGCGAAGGGCGUACAGACAAAACGUUUCAAACAUCCGCUAUUUGUCACGAACAUACACGCAUAAGCAGCUACGAAUGCGGCUGCCCAGCUCAUCUGAGCAUUCAUAUGAAACAGUGCAGUUUACUCUUCCAGAAGCAUAUAAUUAAUAUCCGAACAUUGAAAGCCAUUGUCAAAACUUAUAGCCUGUAUAUUGCCCUUUGCGGACCCUUGCAACCGCAAUUCGUAGGUAACCCCUCCGCUUCGAACAGGGUAGGUUCAUAAUAAGUCAGGCAUGCCCACCUUACACUACAGUGACAUACAUAGACGAUUGGCAAGGCAAACCUAGGCCCUCCGAUUCACCCAUCCUAAAGCCCAUCCGCAGGCGAUCCCGCCAAUAAUGUCAAAUGUUAUGAUGGGUGUGAAGCCCAAUAGUGCUGUUUGGGGGUCUGUGGAUCGAAGCUCUAGGCGCGCGGUUAGCCUGCCUCCCGACCUAGGUGUGCAUUGUUCGUUGAUGACGGGGAACCAGGAUAAGCUGAUCCGAAUAAAAAAAACAGAAGGCGUUUUGUUGGAUUCCUCUUUUCCAGGCAACCCACUCGUUGACGGAUAUCCAUUGUGAUUGAGGGGGAGACAAAUUACUGCUGGACAGUGUGGUCAUUAUGUCUCAAGAUGUAAAUGCCAAUGCCAAUACUGAGCUACUAGCGGGCUAUAACGGUCAAGCCAACAAGCUCCAGCACAACGUAAGGACGUGUUCACAUGUGGGCGAAUCAGGGUUGAUUCAUGCGAAUUGGACUCUGAAUUGGACCUGAUUGGACCCGAAUCU
Molecule: long non-coding RNA, 836 nt
Filed under: Volvox carteri
Lineage: Eukaryota; Viridiplantae; Chlorophyta; Chlorophyceae; Chlamydomonadales; Volvocaceae
Description: long non-coding RNA (VCAR_LNC003392)
Source: RNAcentral